GCAAAACACUGUUUACACGAUCGCUCCUUUUGUACUGAUACCAUCUCAGUUACACAAAUAGGAGGUACCUACUCGAUUUACAUGUAUAGCUAUUUCAGUAACACGAACAACACCCUUUAAUAUUAUAUCGAACAAGAAAGUGCAUCUGCCUUGAAUAUGAGGGUUUCAGCUAUAUAUUACAUGGGGGCAAAGUCGAGAAGAGGAUAUAUAAAAGUAAAACAGUACGCAUAGUUAUAUAGCAGACGAUCCUCUUUUCAGCAGCUCCAAUUUAGUAGCAGCAACAGCCUGCCGUUGCCUUUCCUUCUUAUUGCGCUGGCACUCUGCACACCAGCUGGAGGUGUCCUUCUGGUGCUUCCUUAUCUCUCUAAAGACAGAACUUCUGCACCACAACAACAAGUUGAUCCUCUGCCCUGAUGUUGUUGCCCUAGCACCAUGGCGAUGACGACCACGAUGCAGCACUGCACGCCCCACGGUAUGGGCAUAAUCGAAGAUCUCCUCUGGUUGUGUUUCAACAUUCACAUGCUUCUCACACCGCACUCCACGGAAGAACAGCUCUCCACCCGAGAAUUGCUUACCCAAGCACACAUUUAAAGUCACUUCUGAAUCAUCGACAUGGAAACCCAAGUCAACAUCUCUGUCCAUUCCAUACUCAACAACAAAGCCAUGAUGGGAAUCAAGUGUGGAUCCACCAACUUCAGUAAAGAAAAUUCUCGAAAUGGGACGAAUGAAAUCUUCCAUCAACUUCUCCAGCAUGGCGUCAAGGCCAAAGUCAUCAAGAACGGCACCAAAUCUGUUCAUCGUAUUGGGACGCAUUAUUCUGAAUUUCGUCUCACGGACCCACCUCUCAAAGUUUUCUACCUCAGCCAACAACAUCUCACAAAAUCGUGGUUGAAGCAUUUCGAACGUAAAAACUCCAGGAGAGGGUUCAGACAUUAUGUUCCUGAAACUUUCCUCUGAGUUCUCACUAAUUGCCUUGAGAAAUGAUGGCACAAAGAAAU
This 998-nucleotide unclassified non-coding RNA is filed under the name Hevea brasiliensis (rubber tree). Lineage: Eukaryota; Viridiplantae; Streptophyta; Magnoliopsida; Malpighiales; Euphorbiaceae. The record is from RNAcentral.